Molecule: ribosomal RNA, 486 nt
Filed under: uncultured Herminiimonas sp.
Lineage: Bacteria; Pseudomonadati; Pseudomonadota; Betaproteobacteria; Burkholderiales; Oxalobacteraceae
Description: bacterial SSU rRNA
Rfam family: Bacterial small subunit ribosomal RNA
Source: RNAcentral
UUGAACGCUGGCGGCAUGCCUUACACAUGCAAGUCGAACGGCAGCACGGGAGCUUGCUCCUGGUGGCGAGUGGCGAACGGGUGAGUAAUAUAUCGGAACGUACCCUAGAGUGGGGGAUAACGUAGCGAAAGUUACGCUAAUACCGCAUACGAUCUACGGAUGAAAGUGGGGGGAUCGCAAGACCUCAUGCUCAUGGAGCGGCCGAUAUCUGAUUAGCUAGUUGGUGGGGUAAAGGCCUACCAAGGCUUCGAUCAGUAGCUGGUCUGAGAGGACGACCAGCCACACUGGGACUGAGACACGGCCCAGACUCCUACGGGAGGCAGCAGUGGGGAAUUUUGGACAAUGGGCGCAAGCCUGAUCCAGCAAUGCCGCGUGAGUGAAGAAGGCCUUCGGGUUGUAAAGCUCUUUUGUCAGGGAAGAAACGGUGGUUUCUAAUACAGAUCACUAAUGACGGUACCUGAAGAAUAAGCACCGGCUAACUACGUG